CCUACGGGAGGCAGCAGUGAGGAAUAUUGGUCAAUGGCCGGAAGGCUGCACCAGCCAUGCCGCGUGAAGGUCAGUGCCCUAUGGGCGUUAAACUUCUUUUGUGCGGGAGCAAUAAUGGUCACGUGUGGCCAGACGAGAGUACCGUACGAAUAAGCAUCGGCUAACUCCGUGCCAGCAGCCGCGGUAAUACGGGGGAUGCAAGCGUGAUCCGGAUUUCUUGGGUUUAAAGGGUGCGUAGGCUGUUAGGUAAGUCAGCGGUGAAAUGCCCCCGCUCAACGGGGUGAAGUGCCAUUGAUACUGCCUUGCUUGAAUGCGGAUGCCGUGGGAGGAAUGUGUGGUGUAGCGGUGAAAUGCAUAGAUAUCACACAGAACACCGAUUGCGAAGGCAUCUCACGAAUCCGCGAUUGACGCUGAUGCACGAAAGCGUGGGUAUCAAACAGGAUUAGAUACCCCAGUAGUC
RNAcentral lists this ribosomal RNA (460 nucleotides) under uncultured bacterium. Its description in RNAcentral is "partial 16S ribosomal RNA". It matches the Rfam family "Bacterial small subunit ribosomal RNA", at positions 338 to 795 of the family's 1533-position model. The record is from RNAcentral.